Eptesicus fuscus (big brown bat) is the source of this 230-nucleotide long non-coding RNA. RefSeq lists it as uncharacterized. NCBI's taxonomy places the organism in Eukaryota, Metazoa, Chordata, Mammalia, Chiroptera, Vespertilionidae. The transcript has 3 exons. The record is from RefSeq and is a predicted model, not a curated record.
CAGGCGUGCGGGAGGCACUAACAAAGGCUGGUGGAUUGAGUGCAUGAAUGAAAGGCACCUCCGCCAUCUCUCGCCCCUACAACCUGCAAAGGCUGUUGUCACUUUGGAGUAGGAUUCAUCUUCUCUGUGCCUCCCUUUCCCCAUCUGUGGAAUGUGAUGGAGGUGGCUCCGGUACAAGGCCACCACUGCGCUGUGCUCCCGGGCGGCUUCCUGUGGAUGUGGCGGAUGGG